AACGCACCUUGCGCUCCUUGGUAUUCCGAGGAGCAUGCCUGUUCGAGUGUCAUUAAAUUCUCAACCCUAUUAGCUUUAUUGUUAGUAGUGGGUGGAUAUGGGGGUAUGGUUUGCUGGCUUUUGAUAAGUCGGCUCCCCUUAAAAGUAUUAGCUGGUACAAUUGUUGGGUCCUCAUCUAUUUGGUGUGAUAAUUAUCUACGCCGUUGGAUGUUGAUCCUAGUACUGCUUAUAAACAGUCCUUUGGACAAUUAAAAUGACUAUUUGACCUCGAAUCAGGUAGGACUACCCGCUGAACUUAA
RNAcentral lists this unclassified non-coding RNA (299 nucleotides) under uncultured fungus. RNAcentral describes it as "sequence contains ITS2". The stretch from base 1 to 52 matches the Rfam family "5.8S ribosomal RNA", at positions 103 to 154 of the family's 154-position model. Lineage: Eukaryota; Fungi. The record is from RNAcentral.